GUUUGAUUCAUGGCUCAGAUUGAACGCUGGUGGCAGGCUUAACACAUGCAAGUCGAGCGGGGGAAGGUAGCUUGCUACUGGACCUAGCGGCGGACGGGUGAGUAAUGCUUAGGAAUCUGCCUAUUAGUGGGGGACAACAUCUCGAAAGGGAUGCUAAUACCGCAUACGUCCUACGGGAGAAAGCAGGGGAUCUUCGGACCUUGCGCUAAUAGAUGAGCCUAAGUCGGAUUAGCUAGUUGGUGGGGUAAAGGCCUACCAAGGCGACGAUCUGUAGCGGGUCUGAGAGGAUGAUCCGCCACACUGGGACUGAGACACGGCCCAGACUCCUACGGGAGGCAGCAGUGGGGAAUAUUGGACAAUGGGGGGAACCCUGAUCCAGCCAUGCCGCGUGUGUGAAGAAGGCCUUAUGGUUGUAAAGCACUUUAAGCGAGGAGGAGGCUACUUUAGUUAAUACCUAGAGAUAGUGGACGUACUCGCAGAAUAAGCACCGG
This 491-nucleotide ribosomal RNA is filed under the name Acinetobacter baumannii. Its description in RNAcentral is "bacterial SSU rRNA". It matches the Rfam family "Bacterial small subunit ribosomal RNA", at positions 11 to 496 of the family's 1533-position model. Lineage: Bacteria; Pseudomonadati; Pseudomonadota; Gammaproteobacteria; Moraxellales; Moraxellaceae. The record is from RNAcentral.